Molecule: non-coding RNA, 30 nt
Filed under: Mus musculus (house mouse)
Lineage: Eukaryota; Metazoa; Chordata; Mammalia; Rodentia; Muridae
Source: RNAcentral
UGGAUNUGUAUGAAGCCCUUAGAUGAUGUA